GGCGGAAUGUGACAUGUAGCGGUGAAAUGCUUAGAUAUGACACAGUACACCGAUUGCGAAGGCAGCUCACUAAGUUAUUAUUGACGCUNAGGGACGAAAGCGUGGGUAGCGAACAGGAUUAGAUACCCUGGUAGUCCACGCCGUAAACGAUGUAUACUCGUUGCCAGCGAUACACAGUUAGUGACCAAGCGAAAGUAUUAAGUAUACCACCUGGGGAGUACGAUCGCAAGAUUGAAACUCAAAGGAAUUGACGGGGGCCCGCACAAGCGGUGGAGCAUGUGGUUUAAUUCGAUGAUACGCGAGGAACCUUACCUGGGCUUAAAUGCAGAACG
Molecule: ribosomal RNA, 332 nt
Filed under: uncultured Bacteroidota bacterium
Lineage: Bacteria; Pseudomonadati; Bacteroidota
Description: bacterial SSU rRNA
Rfam family: Bacterial small subunit ribosomal RNA
Source: RNAcentral